GUAGGGAAUAUUGCGCAAUGGGGGAAACCCUGACGCAGCGACGCCGCGUGAGUGAUGAAGGCCUUCGGGUCGUAAAGCUCUGUUGCAGGGGAAUAAAAAAAUGAAGGUACCCUGUGAGGAAGGAUCGGCUAACUUCGUGCCAGCAGCCGCGGUAAGACGAGGGAUCCUAGCGUUGCUCGGAAUCAUUGGGCGUAAAGAGGGCGUAGGUGGCUUGGUAAGUCAGGUGUGAAAGCCCAGGGCUCAACCGUGGAAGUGCAUUUGAUACUGCUGAGCUUGAGUGUCGGAGAGGUUACCGGAAUACCUGGUGUAGUGGUGAAAUACGUAGAUAUCAGGUGGAACACCGGAGGCGAAGGCGGGUAACUGGACGAACACUGACACUGAGGCCCGAAAGCGUGGGGAUCAAACAGGAUUAGAUACCCUAGUAGUCC
Molecule: ribosomal RNA, 428 nt
Filed under: uncultured bacterium
Lineage: Bacteria
Description: partial 16S ribosomal RNA
Rfam family: Bacterial small subunit ribosomal RNA
Source: RNAcentral